AUGCUUCACCUCGCUCACACAGGAUGCUUCCCCAGGGCUCUGCUGAAGUCUAGCAGAGAUUCAAACGUCUUCUGGCUGGUCAUUGGUGUUUUAAUGACCUCCACAAGCUUCAUCAAAGGCACUGGGUUGAAGAAAUGGAGCCCGGCGAAUCAGUCCUGUCUGGUGGUGGAAUUGGCUAGGCUUGUGAUCUGCAAAGAGGAAGUGUUGCUGGCAAAGAUUGUGUGUUCGGCGGCAAACUUGUCCAGCCUCUUGAACAGCUCGUUCUUCAUCUGCAGAUUCUCUACGAUGGCCUCCACCACCAAGUCUGUGCUGUGGACCACAGAUGCUGCAUCCGUGCUGGUCGAUAUGCUGCUCAGGGUCUUCGCCACAAACUCAUCAGCACCCUUGGGGUUUUCUGCAAACUUCUUCUUGGCCACUUUCCGAAGACUUUCCUCAAUUCCCUUUCUAGAUUUUUCCAGGAUGUCCUCUGUUUGGUCCACCAACACUACUGUGUGGCCAGUUGCUGCAGCAACCUGGGCAAUGCCGGCGCCCAUCAGCCCACCGCCGAUGACCGUCACGUGCUUGACGAGGAUUUUUUUCGCCGAGGCCUCGGCGCUGGAGGAGGAGGACAUGGAGCGCACGAACUGCCUGGUUACGAAAGCCAUGGAGCAGAUGGCGAAAACAGCGACAGGCACAAGACCUGGCUAAGUAGCAACCUGCACGGAGCCCAAGAAACAGCAGCGACCCGACGUCAGGGGGCGGAGGCCCAGGCGCCCUGUCUCAGCUUUUGAAUAUGCUAUCUAGGUUGGUCAUAACUUUCUUUCCAAGGAGUAAGCAUCUUUUAAUUUCAUGGCUGUAAUCACCAUCUCCAGUGAUUUUGGAUCCCCCCAAAAUAAAGUCUGACACUGUUUCCACUGUUUCCCCAUUUAUUUCCCAUGAAGUGGUGGGACCGGAUGCCAUGAUCUUUGUUUUCUGAAUGUUGGGCUUUAAGCCAACUUUUUCACUCUCCACUUUCACUUUCAUCUAGAGGCUUUUUAGUUCCUCCUCACUUUCUGUCAUGAGGGUGGUGUCAUCUGCAUAUCUGAGGUGAUUGAUAUUUCUCCCAGCAAUCUUGAUUCCAGCUUGUGUUUCUUCCAGUCCAGCGUUUCUCAUGAGGUACUCUGCAUAGAAGUUAAAUAAACAGGGUGACAAUAUACAGCCUUGCUAUGCUAUGCUAUGCUAAGUCACUUCAGUUGUGUCCAACUCUCUGUGACCCCAUAGACGGCAGCCCACCAGGCUCCCCCGUCCCUGGGAUUCUCCAGGCAAGAACACCGGAGUGGGUUGCCAUUUCCUUCUCCAAUGCAUGAAAGUGAAAAGAGAAAGUGAAGUCGCUCAGUCGUGUCUGACUCUUAGCGACCCCAUGGACUGCAGCCUACCAGGCUCCUCCAUCCAUGGGAUUUUCCAGGCAAGAGUACUAGAGUGGGGUGCCAUUGCCCUCUCCUGGAUACAGCCUUGACAAACUCCUUUUCCUAUUUGCAACCAGUCUGUUGUUCCAUGUCCAGUUCUAAUUGUUGCUUCCUGACCUGCAUACAGAUUUCUCAAGAGGCAGGUCAGGUGGUCUGGUAUUCCCAUCUCUUGAAGAAUUUUCCAGUUUAUUGUGAUCCACACAGUCAAAGGCUUUGGCAUAGUCAAUAAAGCAGAAAUAGAUGUUUUUCUGGAACUCUCUUGCUUUUUCCAUGAUCCAGUGGAUGUUGGCAAUUUGAUCUCUGGUUCCUCUGCCUCUUCUAAAACCAGCUUGAACAUUAGGAAGUUCACGGUUCACAUAUUGCUGAAGCCUGGCUUGGAGAAUUUUGAGCAUUACUUUACUAGCAUGUGAGAUAAGUGCAAAGGUACCUCACCCUGAAGCCUGUGCUCUGCAACAAGAGAAGCCAGCGUGAUGAGAAGCUCGUGCACUGCAGUUGGAGAAUAGACCCCAGUCACCAUGGCUAGAGAAAAGCCCAGGCAGCAAUGAAGACCCAGCACAGCCAGAGAUAAAUAAUAAAAAAAAAUGAAAUUUUAAAAUUACUCAAGCCGAUAGAAGUCAGUUGAUGAGGAAGACUGUGAAGAACAGAGGACCAGAAAGAGGUUAGGAAUGCGGUGGGUGUGUUUAAGUUUCCAAAGGCCAAUCAGGGGUGCCCUCUCUGCUCUUGUGAGUUUAGGACAGAGACUGGAAGAGAGUUCAUCGCAUUUCUAAAAUUGCAGAACGAGGAAAGUGAAUCUUUAUGAAAUCUCUGCAGGGGUGAUGCUUUUCUAAACUCUGAUGGCAGAAACAGAUAAGUAGACAUUCCUUUGUGGUGUUUAAAAAAUUCUGAAAAACCCAGCCCCUUAAAACAUUGUAGAAGAUUACAUGCAAGGCAAUGGGUGCUGGGGUGUAUGCCUUUGUGUGUGACUUAGAAGCUCACCUGAGAGGGGGUCUUAGGAAGAACAUGAGAAAGAGGGAAGGAGGGGGCACUGCAGAGAAAGAAGAGCAUCAUGAUGGGAUCUUUGGGAGGUCCCCUCCUGCACCCCAUUUCAGAGCCCUGAUCACCAGCCCCAGGGCCAGCCGUCACAGCCCCCACACCCUCCUGUCUCUGAUUGGAGUCUGGGAGGUUAAAUGAGUCAUUUCUCUUUGCAGGUGCUGUGAUCAGGUGCUCUUGUUCUAUAUAUAAAACUCCGGUGCUCCUGUGCGGAUAUCCAGAAAGCUCGAUUAAUCCCAAACAUCCUUUCCCACAGAGAUGUCCCAAAAUAAAAUCUUCAGCACAUGUAGAGUGGCUUAACUGUUUCCUUGAUUGAAUGACUGAAUUUAAGUUUAUGAAGGGUUUUUUGUGAGGAGGAUACUGAACUUUAUUCCCCAAGUUCACAGGCAGCUGAGGAAGAAGACAGGUGCUCACGUUUAAGCUGGGGAGUUUGUGGCUGGACAAAAAGAAGAACUUAACCCACUGAGGACCGAAAUGGAAGAACCGGCUGCAUGGAGCAGUUAGGGAAGUUCCAUCUACAGAUGCACAAGGAGAAAAGAGAUGUGUCAGCUGUCUCAUUGACACUUGUCGAUAGAGCAGAAAAUAGACUCUAUCAUAUUCAUCUUGAAGUCUAGAUAUCUAGCUUAGUGCCUGAUACAUGGUAGACAAGCCUGCCUGAAAAACAUAUUUAAAAAAGGGACUGGGGGAAUGAACUGGUGAAAUGGUGCCAGUGAUGCAGCAGAUACGGGCAAUAAUAAGAUGAGAUGAUUCUCUGAAGCAUCUGCCUCAGUGCUCUAGGGCCACAGUAACACUGCAUAACAAACAAUUCCAAAGCCUUAGGGAGGGUAGGGCGGUACACAUUUAAUUCUGCUUAUGAUGAGUUUGAGCAAAUUCCAGGAGAUAGUGAAGGACAGGGAAGCCCAGCAUGUUACAGUUUAUGGGGUCACAGAGUCGGACACGACUUCGCGAUGGGACAACAAUGAAUUAAUGCAUAGCUGAGUGGCACGACUGGUUCUGCCUUGGACCUUCCUGUCUCUGCUGGGACAACCUUUGCUCUGUAAAGUCAGCCAAUCCGCCAUCCUCCAUGCUUGUGUUCAUGGUGGACUCAAGGGCCCGAGAGAGCAGAAGUAAGAACCCAUUUCUUCUGCCACAUUCCUGACCAAAGGAAGUAGAAAUCUAGUCCAGAUUUAGGGUGUUUGGAAAUAGACAGGACUUCUUAAUGGGAAAGUUAUAUUGCAAACCUUGGAUGGUGGGGGGGAGGCUUAAAAAAAUGCGGACUUUUUUGCAGUCAUACUUAGCACCUCCUAUCUAGUUAUUCUCUUCUUUAAAACAACAACAAAAAAGGUAAAAUUUAAAAUGCUACCAUUGGUGUGGGGAGGGAGGAGGGAGGAGGGUUCAGGAUGGGGAACACAUGUAUACUAAUUAAAUAAUUAAAAAAAAAUAAAAUGCUACCAUAACAAAUUUUAAAAGUAAUAGGGCAUAUAUAAAUAUGUAACUACAUUGAGUUAAAAAGAAAAAUUGAUGUAGGAGGUGGUAUAGACUGUGCCUUAAAAGAUAAAUGUGUUUGGCAAAGUUGAGAUGAGUCAGAGACAUAGCCGACAGAGGAAUAAGCAGGGACGUAGGCACAAAGGUAGGAGGGAACAUGAGGUACUUGGAGGUGGAGAGAAAUAGGGUUCAGAGCAACAGCAUAUAGGGCAUCAAUGGUGGGAAGAGGAGCUAGUUAGUAUCAGGCUGUACUAUGCAGAUAUCUGGCUUAUUUACAUUUACUUGCUUACAGGUCAUCUUUCCUACUGGAGUGUAAGCUCCAUGAAAACAGAAAUUUUGAUUUCCCCAGCUUAGAGCUCUGUCCAGCACAUAGCAGGGCUCAGAAAGUACUCGUUGAUUGAAUGGAUGGAAAAGAGCCUUGUCAGCCUUGUGGGGGGAGUUGGACUUUACCCCAGGAGUAGUGGGAAGGGAUCAAUUUUUGAUAAGCAGUGAAGACUGUGAGAAGAUUUGAGUUUCAGGAGGACAGUCUGAUGCUAGAAGAAAUGAAGACAGAUGGAGUUUGGAGUUUGGAGCAUGGAGUCAUGGUGACGUUGCUGGAGGCAAGGGCAGCAAGAAACUGGGUCAGAGUUUCACAAAAGAAAGGGCUGCAGACAGCUCCCAGCUUUCCGGUGUGGGCCUAACAGCUGAAGGGAUAGCAUGAAAGUGAAGGUGUUAGCCACUCAGUUGUGCCUGACUCUUUGCACUCCCAUGGACUAUAGGUCUCCAGGCUCCUCUGUCCAUGGCAUUCACUAGAUAAGAAUACUAGCUGGGUAACCAUUCCUUUCUCCAGGGGAUCUUCCUGAUUUAGGGAUGGAAUCCAGGUUUCCUGCAUUGCAGGUGGAUUCUUUACCUCCUGAGCAGCCAUUGCUGAUCUACUCAAGAUUUUAUGAGAAACUCAGUGAGAGCUGUUGAUUUUUUC
Molecule: long non-coding RNA, 4875 nt
Filed under: Bos grunniens (domestic yak)
Lineage: Eukaryota; Metazoa; Chordata; Mammalia; Artiodactyla; Bovidae
Description: lncRNA (ENSBGRG00000022127.1)
Source: RNAcentral